RNAcentral lists this ribosomal RNA (588 nucleotides) under uncultured Funneliformis. Its description in RNAcentral is "LSU rRNA". It matches the Rfam family "Eukaryotic large subunit ribosomal RNA", at positions 204 to 637 of the family's 3401-position model. The record is from RNAcentral. Lineage: Eukaryota; Fungi; Glomeromycota; Glomeromycetes; Glomerales; Glomeraceae.
CAUGGAGGGUGAGAAUCCCGUUCAUGGUUAAUCUUAAGGAUGCUCUACGAUACGUUCUCCAAGAGUCGAGUUGUUUGGGAUUGCAGCUCAAAAUGGGAGGUAAAUUUCUCCUAAGGCUAAAUAUUGGCGAGAGACCGAUAGCGAACAAGUACCGUGAGGGAAAGAUGAAAAGAACUUUGAAAAGAGAGUUAAACAGUACGUGAAAUUGUUGAAAGGGAAACGAUUGAAGUCAGUCAUACCAACGGGAAAUCAACCUCUUGAGUUUGGUCUUGUGGGUUUCGAAGAGUUUAAAAGCCUUCGGAUUUGCGAGGAUUGGGCUCUUUUGGUGUACUUUCUCGUACGGUUAGUCAACAUCGGUUUUGAAUGUCAUAAAAUGACUGGAGGAAUGUGGCUUCGAUCUCGUAUUGAAGUGUUAUAGCCUUUGGUAGAUGUGAUGUUCGAGACCGAGGAUUGCAAUGGAUACCCUUCUGGGCUAUUCGUCUGAUCUCUGAUACGUUGCUUUGAUGUCGAAAGCUUGCUUAUGAUGUUAGGGUAUUACGGUCAAAAGGUUAGAACGGAUUAAAUUCGUUAAGGAUGUUGACGUAAUGG